This 801-nucleotide long non-coding RNA is filed under the name Pan troglodytes (chimpanzee). Its description in RNAcentral is "long non-coding RNA NONPTRT013736". Lineage: Eukaryota; Metazoa; Chordata; Mammalia; Primates; Hominidae. The record is from RNAcentral.
GCAAUUUCUUGGGGGACAGCGACUCCUAUGGAUGUCGUGAAAAGUCGACUCCAAGCUGAUGGGGUUUAUUUAAACAAAUAUAAAGGUGUCCUGGACUGUAUCUCCCAGAGUUACCAGAAGGAAGGUCUUAAAGUGUUUUUCAGAGGCAUCACUGUGAACGCGGUGCGGGGCUUCCCAAUGAGUGCGGCCAUGUUCCUUGGGUACGAGCUGUCGCUGCAGGCUAUCCGCGGGGACCACACAGUGACGAGCCCAUGAGCGCCAGGUCUUUGCUCAGGCUGUCCCCUCUGCCUGACAUCCUCUUCUCGCUCCUUUCCUACUUGUCCUUGGCUUCACCAGCUCUUUGCCAUCCAGGCUGUAGAAGUCUCCUCCUCCAGGAUGCCGGCUUGCUUUCUCAGCUAGGGGUCUCAUCCCAUUAACAGGUCAAUGCUAAAAGUGUCUGCAGAACCCAUGAUGUGAAUUUACUGAAGAGAAAGACUCUCCACCAGGUGGGCUUUCAGCCAGGCAGGCUGUCCUCAGAACCUCUUCCUUCCUUCACAAUUACAAGCAUUCUCAUCCCCACCCCGGCUGGGGCAGCGGAGCUUCUGCCUUGGAGGGAUUCAACUGACCAUUGGUCAACUGAUCACCAACUAUUCCAGCUUUGGACCUGCACCUGGUAACAAACAAACGAACAGAACAAAACAAAACUGGAGUAAAAUAGACCCUCCCCCCAUGGCCAUUGUAAACUCACUGUGAAUUCAUGGAAGAGCUGGAGUUGGCUCUAAGUUUCAAAAUAAAAGCAUUAAAAACCUCUUCACAUUGUUU